GGAUGUGACUGUGACUUCAUGUGACUUCUGCCAGUCAACCCAUCGAUCGCCAGUGUUGGUUCAGCUGAUCUGGCUGGCUCCGGGUGUAUCUGCUUCCUCCCUUGAUGGUCCAUGGGUAUCUCUCUGGAAGCUACAUGCUCCAGAAUAUAGGAGGAGCAGUCUUUGGUCAAGAGUAGACAAGUAACUGUGGUCCCUUGCUAGAAUUUCCAGAGAAGCAUUCAAGAUCCAUUUUUGUUCUUAUUUGUGUUUUCAGUUGCCUACAAAGAUCAGUAGAGGGUGUGAGAUCCCGCCAGCU
RNAcentral lists this small nuclear RNA (295 nucleotides) under Rattus norvegicus (Norway rat). Its description in RNAcentral is "7SK RNA". It matches the Rfam family "7SK RNA". Rfam says of the family: 7SK was discovered as an abundant small nuclear RNA in the mid-70s but a possible function has only recently been suggested. Two independent studies have found that 7SK RNA binds the CDK9/cyclin T complex (known as elongation factor P-TEFb). Lineage: Eukaryota; Metazoa; Chordata; Mammalia; Rodentia; Muridae. The record is from Rfam by way of RNAcentral.